AUUUGNUUGACAAAUUUCCUUACUGACCACCCAAUUUCCAGCGGGAUGGAAACUUCAAGAAGACCUUCCCGAUGAAGAAGUUCUAUUCACUGAAAUCAUACCAUCUUGGAGGCUAUACUUCGAUGGGGCAGCUCGAAGUUAUGGUGCCGGAGCAGGAGUAGUCUUUGUCACUCUACAUGAUCUCGUCAUGCCCUACUCUUUUGCUUUAACAGAGAAAUGUUCAAACAACGUGGCAGAAUAUCAAGCCAUUAUCCUUGGUUCAGAAGCAACGUUAGAUACGGAUAUCCACCAGCUGGAAGUAUUUGGAGAUUCAAAAUUGAUAAUCAACCAACUUUUAACUGAGUAUGAAGUCCAUAAUUCAUACCUAAACCAUAUCAUGAAUAUGCAUCAAUUUUAUGAGACGAUUUGAUUCGGUAAAAAUAAAAUUCAUCCCGAGAAGUGAAAAUAGGGAGGUUGAUGCCUUAGCUAAUUUGGCCGAUGUUUUAGCUAGGUCAGAUAGAGACUUCUCUCCCUCUAUAUCAAUUGCUCAAAGAUGGGUACUUCUGUCAUUGCUAUCCAGUAAUUUGGAAGAAAACAAUAGUAUUGAAGUAGUUGAAGAUGAAGAAAGAAAAUAUUGGAGACAACUAAUAAUUGAUUUUUUUCAACAUCAAAAGCUACCAGAUAAUCCACGGCGAAAAACUGAAAUCAAUAGACGUGCCUCUCGCUUUACCUUUUACAAAGGAACACUUAUCGACGAUCAUUUGAUGGAGUUUUCCUUCGAUGCCUAAGUGAUGAUGAAGUAACACAGGUCAUGGAAGAAGCCCACUCUGGAAUUUAUGGUGUCCAUCAGUCUGGACCCAAACUCUAUUUUCGAAUAAAGAGGAUGGGGUAUUACUGGCCAACUAUGGUACAAAACUCCAUGGAUUAUGCAAGAAAAUAUGAAGCUUGCCAAGUCCAUGCGAAUUUCAUCCGUCAACCUCCGGAACCAUUACAUCUGACAGUAGCUUCAUGACCAUUUGAUGCAUAGGGUCUGGAUGUAAUUGGACCUAUGACUCCAAAGUCUUCAGCAAGGCAUGCAUACAUUUUCAUCGGGACUGACUACUUCUCUAAGUGGGCCGAAGCCGUACCAUUGAAGGAAGUAAAGAAAGAAAAUGUCACAGAUUUCAUUCGCAUCCAAAUCAUUUACCGACAUGGUGUCCCGAGGCAUAUCAUAACCGAUAAUGCCAAGACAUUCUGCAAUAGCCACAUAAACAAUUUAUGUGCUAAGCUUGGGUUUAAACAGUAUAACUCGUCCAUGUACAAUGCAGCAGCCAACGGAUUAGCAGAGGCGUUCAACAAAAUACUAUGCAGACUACUAAAAAACGUUGUCUCCAAUUUAAAAAGAGAUUGGCAUGAGAAAAUUGGUCCAACACAAGCCACUCCUUAUGCCUUAGUAUAUGGAGUAGAAGUUGUAUUUCCUCUGAAGUGUCAAAUCCCGUCACUUCGAAUUGCCAUCCAGGAAGGUUUGACAACUGAAGAAAAUGUCCGUCUUCGAUUGGAAAAGCUAGAAGCUUUGGAUGAGAAGAUGCUAGAAGCACAAAUGCACCUGGAGUACUAUCAAACUCGAAUGGCGAAGUCCUUCAACAAAAAAGUGCGACCAAGAUCAUUUCAAGUUGGAGAUUUGGUACUUUCCGUGCGCCGGCCAAUCAUAAUCACAAGAAAAACAAGGGGCAAAUUUCAAUCUAAAUGGGAUGGUCCAUUUCUUGUUACUCAUGCAUUCACUAACAGAGCGUAAAAGAUCAUCGACAAAGAUAGACUGUAAAUCAGACCUAUCAAUGGAAAAUUUUUAAAGCGUUUUUACGCUUAAGUUCUUAAUUUUUAAAAUUUUGCAUUGAACAAAAAAAUUGUGUUCUUGUAAUGAACUACGUUCGACUUGAUCCCGUUUGGGUACGUAGGCAGCUUGAAUAAAUUAUAAAUUCAGGUUCAGUCACAACUAAUAAAUUCAUUCAAUUUGUUUACCAGUUGCUAUAGUAAAAAAAAAAAAACACAAGAAAUAUGAAAAAGAAAAGUUCCUCCAAAUAAAAAAUAGCAAGUCAAAACUCAUACAAUAUGAUCUUUAAAAAAAAGAUCAGAAAUUCAUGACUUCA
RNAcentral lists this long non-coding RNA (2105 nucleotides) under Olea europaea subsp. europaea. Lineage: Eukaryota; Viridiplantae; Streptophyta; Magnoliopsida; Lamiales; Oleaceae. The record is from RNAcentral.